AAGUUUUCUGGAGAUUCAACCGUUGGAUCGCAAUGAAAUUUUACACUGUGUUAGUAGACAAAAUUACACACAAUCCCACCCAAGGGAUCGUCGAAAUAAUGAUUGAAUCAACGGGAAACAUUCAAACAAGUCAGACAUUCAUGCUGUUACGAAUGGCCGCGAGGAAUCCGAACAACACUUGGUGUUUUGGAGUUGACCGGAGAUUUCACCGUCGGAUCGAGAUGAAAUUUCACACCGUCAUAGUAGACACAAUUUCGCAUCAUCUCACCGAUGGGAUUGUUGAAAUAAUAAUUUACGCUGCAUAUACUUUGCGAGAGAGAAAGGAGGCAGGAGAAAGAAAAAGAUUAGGCAAAAGGAGAGCAAAAGGAAGUAAAAGAAAAAAAACGUGAAAAACCCAUCCUACUCUUCUGAAUUUGGGUGGGAGUUGUAUUGAAUUAGUCCUCUUACCAGAAAUAGUCAACUAAUUUAAAUUACAAUUUAACAAUCCGAAUUAUUUUUCUACGGGAUUCUAUCUUGCAUGAGUAUAUGUAAGACGAGAUUCUCUCGCUUUCUUUAUAGCUCAGAC
Molecule: long non-coding RNA, 565 nt
Filed under: Brachypodium distachyon (stiff brome)
Lineage: Eukaryota; Viridiplantae; Streptophyta; Magnoliopsida; Poales; Poaceae
Description: long non-coding RNA (BDIS_LNC002568)
Source: RNAcentral